UACAGAGGGGGCAAGCGUUGCUCGGAAUCACUGGGCGUAAAGCGUGCGUAGACGGUUAUUUAAGUCGGAUGUGAAAGCCCCGGGCUCAACCUGGGAAUUGCAUUCGAGACUGAAUAGCUAGGGUGCGGUAGAGGGAAGCGGAAUUUCCGGUGUAGCGGUGAAAUGCGUAGAUAUCGGAAGGAACAUCAGUGGCGAAAGCGGCUUCCUGGACCAGCACCGACGUUCAGGCACGAAAGCGUGGGGAGCAAACAGG
RNAcentral lists this ribosomal RNA (253 nucleotides) under uncultured bacterium. RNAcentral describes it as "partial 16S ribosomal RNA". It matches the Rfam family "Bacterial small subunit ribosomal RNA", at positions 524 to 776 of the family's 1533-position model. The record is from RNAcentral.